This 495-nucleotide ribosomal RNA is filed under the name uncultured bacterium. Its description in RNAcentral is "partial 16S ribosomal RNA". It matches the Rfam family "Bacterial small subunit ribosomal RNA", at positions 28 to 507 of the family's 1533-position model. The record is from RNAcentral.
GACGAACGCUGGCGGCGUGCCUAAUACAUGCAAGUAGAACGCUGAAGGAGGAGCUUGCUUCUCCGGAUGAGUUGCGAACGGGUGAGUAACGCGUAGGUAACCUGCCUGGUAGCGGGGGAUAACUAUUGGAAACGAUAGCUAAUACCGCAUAACAGUAGAUAUUGCAUGAUAUCUGCUUGAAAGGUGCAAUUGCAUCACUACCAGAUGGACCUGCGUUGUAUUAGCUAGUUGGUGAGGUAACGGCUCACCAAGGCGACGAUACAUGGCCGACCUGAGAGGGUGAUCGGCCACACUGGGACUGAGACACGGCCCAGACUCCUACGGGAGGCAGCAGUAGGGAAUCUUCGGCAAUGGACGGAAGUCUGACCGAGCAACGCCGCGUGAGUGAAGAAGGUUUUCGGAUCGUAAAGCUCUGUUGUAAGAGAAGAACGAGUGUGAGAGUGGAAAGUUCACACUGUGACGGUAUCUUACCAGAAAGGGACGGCUAACUACGUG